UGGGGAAUAUUGCACAAUGGGGGAAACCCUGAUGCAGCGACGCCGCGUGAGCGAUGAAGGCUUUCGAGUCGUAAAGCUCUGUCCUAUGGGAAGAUAAUGACGGUACCAUAGAAGAAAGCCCCGGCUAAUUACGUGCCAGCAGCCGCGGUAAUACGUAAGGGGCGAGCGUUGUCCGGAAUUAUUGGGCGUAAAGAGUGCGUAGGCGGCAAAUUAAGUCAGAUGUGAAAACUAAGGGCUCAACCCAUAGAUUGCAUCUGAAACUGAUAUGCUUGAGUCAAGGAGAGGAAAGUGGAAUUCCUAGUGUAGCGGUGGAAUGCGUAGAUAUUAGGAGGAAUACCGGUGGCGAAGGCGACUUUCUGGGCUUGAACUGACGCUGAGGCACGAAAGCGUGGGGAGCAAACAGG
RNAcentral lists this ribosomal RNA (404 nucleotides) under Verrucomicrobiota bacterium. Its description in RNAcentral is "Verrucomicrobia bacterium partial 16S ribosomal RNA". It matches the Rfam family "Bacterial small subunit ribosomal RNA", at positions 355 to 776 of the family's 1533-position model. The record is from RNAcentral. Lineage: Bacteria; Pseudomonadati; Verrucomicrobiota.